RNAcentral lists this ribosomal RNA (301 nucleotides) under uncultured bacterium. RNAcentral's name for it is "partial 16S ribosomal RNA". It matches the Rfam family "Bacterial small subunit ribosomal RNA", at positions 509 to 807 of the family's 1533-position model. The record is from RNAcentral.
CAGUAGCCGCGGGAACACGUAGGUGGCAAGCGUUGUCCGGAAUUAUUGGGCGUAAAGGGCUCGCAGGCGGUUUCUUAAGUCUGAUGUGAAAGCCCCCGGCUCAACCGGGGAGGGUCAUUGGAAACUGGGAAACUUGAGUGCAGAAGAGGAGAGUGGAAUUCCACGUGUAGCGGUGAAAUGCGUAGAGAUGUGGAGGGACACCAGUGGCGAAGGCGACUCUCUGGUCUGUAACUGACGCUGAGGAGCGAAAGCGUGGGGAGCGAACAGGAUUAGAUACCCCAGUAGUCCCUGUCUCUUAUAC